GCGUCGGACGCGAAAAUGCCCGACAUGCAGGCGGGGUGGGAGCAGAUGUGCUCCAAUGUCAUGGCCGGGCUGUCGGGUCUGAACAUGGUCUAUGAGGCGG
Regulatory RNA element from Jannaschia sp. CCS1, 100 nucleotides. It matches the Rfam family "Pyrrolysine insertion sequence mttB". The record is from Rfam. Lineage: Bacteria; Pseudomonadati; Pseudomonadota; Alphaproteobacteria; Rhodobacterales; Roseobacteraceae.